This 74-nucleotide non-coding RNA is filed under the name Clostridium celatum. Its description in RNAcentral is "Glycine riboswitch". It matches the Rfam family "Glycine riboswitch aptamer", at positions 8 to 87 of the family's 94-position model. Rfam says of the family: This family represents the bacterial glycine riboswitch. Glycine riboswitches usually consist of two metabolite-binding aptamers domains with similar structures in tandem. RNAcentral also lists the same sequence under 1 other name. The record is from RNAcentral. Lineage: Bacteria; Bacillati; Bacillota; Clostridia; Eubacteriales; Clostridiaceae.
AAUUUGGGAGAUGCUGUUUAAAUAACAGAGCCGAAGGGGAAAGUGCGGCAAACUCUCAGGCAAAAGGACCAAAU